GAUGAAGAACGUAGCGAAACGCGAUAGGUAAUGUGAAUUGCAGAAUUCCGUGAAUCAUUGAAUCUUUGAACGCAUAUUGCGCCUUCUGGUAUUCCGGUAGGCAUGUCUGUUUGAGCGUCAGCAAAAACCCCUUCGGCAUGGGUGUGUAUAUAUAUGCUCCUGCCGGUGUUGGGUCAAGAAGGCUGAUAGGUGACAGCUACGUCCUUACCUGCCCCUGCCCUAAACUUGCUGUACGACCGCUAGCCCGUUCGGGUCUGGUUUAAUGGAGUGGUAUUGUUAGUCUUCCAAUGAACCUGCCGGAAGCUCUUGCGGCAUCAAACUUUAGAUCUUCCCCUUCAUGGUGAAGGCUCUUGAAUUUUUGACCUCAAAUCAGACAAGGAUACCCGCUGAACUUAAGCAUAUCAAUAAGCGGAGGA
RNAcentral lists this unclassified non-coding RNA (416 nucleotides) under soil metagenome. RNAcentral's name for it is "partial contains 5.8S ribosomal RNA, internal transcribed spacer 2, and large subunit ribosomal RNA". The stretch from base 1 to 120 matches the Rfam family "5.8S ribosomal RNA", at positions 35 to 154 of the family's 154-position model. The record is from RNAcentral.